RNAcentral lists this ribosomal RNA (407 nucleotides) under uncultured bacterium. Its description in RNAcentral is "partial 16S ribosomal RNA". It matches the Rfam family "Bacterial small subunit ribosomal RNA", at positions 28 to 526 of the family's 1533-position model. The record is from RNAcentral.
GACGAACGCUGGCGGCGGGCCUAAUACAUGCAAGUAGGACGCAGUUGCGAACGUGUGAGUAACGCGUAGGUAACUACCUAUUAGAGGGGGAUAACUAUUGGAAACGAUAGCUAAUACCGCAUACUAGUAGAUGUACCUGCGUUGUAUUUGAUAGGAGGUAGGGUAAUGGCCUACCUAGGCAACGAUACAUAGCCGACCGUGAGGGGUGAUCGACCACAAUUGGACUGAGACACGGCCCCGACUCCUACGGGAGGCAGCAGUAGGGAAUCUUCGGCAAUGGGGCGAACCCUGACCGCGCAACGCCGCGUGAGUGAAGAAGGUUUUCGGAUCGUAAAGCUCUGUUGUUAAGGAAGCGGUACUUAACCAGAAAGGGACGGCUAACUACGUGCCAGCCGCCGCGGUAAUUC